GUGUACUCAGGGAUGCGCAUGAGGUUGCCGUCAAGCGCCUAUAUGAGAACAACAUGAAACGUACUGAGCAGUUUAUGAAUGAAAUUGAGAUCCUAGCCCAUUUACAACACCGGAAUCUGGUGAAACUUCACGGAUGUACCUCGAGGCACAGCCGGGAGCUUCUACUCGUUUAUGAAUACAUUCCUAAUGGAACUGUUGCUGAUCAUCUUCAUGGAAGACAGUCAAACUCUCGCUUGCUCACUUUGCCUGUUCGGCUAAGCAUUGCCAUAGAGACAGCCAGUGCGCUGGUGCACCUCCAUGCUUCAGAUGUCAUACAUCGAGAUGUAAAAACCAAUAACAUUCUCCUAGACAAUGACUUCUGUGUCAAAGUGGCUGAUUUUGGUUUGUCCCGAUUGUUCCCAACUAAUGUCACUCAUUUAACGACUGCUCCACAAGGAACACCUGGAUAUGUUGAUCCGGAGUAUUAUCAAUGCUACCAGCUCACGGACAAGAGUGAUGUUUACAGCUUUGGCGUCGUCUUGAUUGAGCUGAUAUCAGCUUUACAAGCAGUGGACACCAAUAGGCGUCGGCACGAUAUUAAUCUGUCCAACAUGGCAGUCAACAAAAUCCAAAAUCAUGCUUUGAAUGAGUUGGUUGAUCCAUUUCUUGGAUUUGAUAAGGAUUUCGUAGUGAGGAGGAUGGUAACAUCAGUUGCAGAGUUAGCUUUCCGGUGUUUGCAACAACAGAGGGAAAUGAGGCCAACUAUGGAAGAAGUGUUGGAGAUAUUGAAAAGAAUUGAGAAUGAAAAUUAUGGAGCAGAAAAGGCAGAUGUAUUGGAUAUUAGUGAGGAUGAUGUUGGGCUAUUGAAGCAUGCUUCUUCUCCACUUCAACUUUCAGCAGACUCAAUGAGUGAUCAAUUCUUGGGAAGCAGUUCUUCCACUAACACACCCCAUUCCUGCUAGCUGUAGAGAUUUCCUUAUCCUUUUAGCUUAAAAUCCGUGAGUAGUAAAUUCAAAGUGUUAUACAAUAAAUGCGUUUGUGAUUCAGUUUUUUUUUUCUUUGUUGGUGUUGUUUUGAUGAAACAAUUUAUGGUUGCCAUGUUUGUGGACUAACAUAAAGCUAAUAUGCAGGAAUUCGCGGUGGCUGAUAUAUACCUAUCAGAAGAAGCUUCAUAGUACAUCUGUACCGAAUCCUCUAAAGCUAGAUCAAGCAAAACUAGAGAAGAACAGGAAAGUUGUUAAUUAGACGUUUCUCACUUUCGAAAGAUAUAUACACUACUGGCAAAGGAAUGAAUCCAUCAAAAGAAUCAGAACUACAAGUUGGGGAGGAAUUUCUUCAGAUUGAUUACCGUUCCAACUUCCAUACAUCACAUUUCACAGGGUGUUAAAAGUUCUGUUUUUUUUCUGGUUUCUGAUCUUAUGUCGUUAAUUAUCAUGUUAUUUAAACAGUCAGACACAGCUUUGAGCCUGCAACAAGAGAAUAGGUUGAAGCAGGUGGGUGUAACAAUGAGGAAUGCAGGCUCUUACAUGGGAAAACUGAAGAUGAACGAGGGGAGGGAAAUUUUGACAAGAUGGGAAACACUUCUGUACAAAAGGUGUCCGAUCUGUCGUCUUUCUACAACAUGAUAGGCUAGACGUUGGUUGUUGAUUGAUAGUUUUCUUCUGUUUUGAGUGUUUAUAUGUAUAUAUAGAAAAUUUGAUGAAGAAAUUUGUGUCUCUCGUCUAAGUUCUACCAUUCAAUUAUUAUGAUUGAAAAAAACAUAAAGCAGAGAGGGUAUUAGUUUUCUAAUAUAUUUCAAAAUGUUAUUUAAAGUUUUUUUCUUAAGUAUAAAAAUAAUAUAUUUUUUUAUUUUUUUAAAUUUAUUUUUUACAUUAACAUAUUAAAAUAAUUUUAAAAAUUUUAAAAAUAAUAAAUUUAACAACAAAAAAUUCAAUCAAGAUUUUUAUAUUCAACUUAAUUGUUCAUAAUAGUUAUAUUUGGUUAAGAUGAUCCUUUUUGGUUUUUAAUUAAAAAAAAUAACUAAGCUAAAUUUGUUUUUUUAAAAUUAAAAGAAAUUAGUUCUGGUUAAUUUUGGUUCGGUUAAUUAAAGUAAAAAACCAGGAAAACCGACCAUAUAUGUGUUGAUUUGACAUAAACUACUGAGUAAUGAAACCAGAGCAAAGAAUGGAAACAUAUCUUUCAUCAAAGAUAUCCAACAAUUCUUUUACACUUCUCUCCAACAAUACAGAUUUACUAAUUGCAUUCAAACAAUAAAAAGGAAAACUUAAGUACAAGAUGCCUCACCAGAUUUGAGGAGAUUAGAUAUAAAAAAUCCCUUCUGCUUUAUAGUUAUGUUUGCUUGUCUGUGUUUUUCUUCUAGAUCUACUAAUGAUUUUUUAGUUUCCUCGAGCUUUUUUUGAAUUUUCAAGGAAGAGAAUAAUAAGCUCAGAUCUUGCUGGUGGAAGCAGAAAAGCAGAAUGAAGAAGGUUUCCUUGUUGACGACCUAAAGUUAACUACCUCAGUUUUAUCAAGUUUCUCACUUAAAUCCGCUGUCAAGUGUAGCUGAGAAUUGUAGAGUUCUUGGAGAAGACGAGAAGUUAGAAACCAGAAAAGGGGAGACGCUGAGAUUGAGAGAAAAAUUGGGGGAGGAACCGGUUGGGUUUUGAUUUGGUCUCGAGGGUUGGAAGAAAAAUUCUUUUAACUUGUUUCGUCAUCAUACCAUAUAAACUUAAUCAGCCAAAAGGAUAUCAAAAUAAGGUUACAGUAGUUACAAACUCGUAUUUACAAUAAAUUAUAUUUAAUUUUUAUAUUUUAUAUUUUAUAUUUUUAUAAUGUGAAAGUAGUGAUGUGUAUAUGGCUUUUUAUUUAUUUAUAGAUUUUCAUUUAAUAAAUUCACACGUGGAGCAACAAUUAGGAUCUUAAAAACUAAAUAAUCUAAAGAUAUAUCAUGAAAUUUGAUUAUUAAAUAUUUAACGUGGCGGUUUACAAUUCAUGAAACUAAACGCAAUAAAAAAACUUUUAAAAAAAAUCAAACAACUAAAUAUUUAAAUAAUAACAAUUAUAUAUAGAGAGUAUAGACAUACACACAUAUAAAGGCUUGUAGGCUGUAGCUAACUAGCUACCAUGAAAACAGGAAUAGACAUCUCUUCUUCCUUUUUAGCGCGUGACCCAGCGACGAUUAAAGUAAGAAAUGAUUUGGUGUAUAAGGGUCUACCAAUAGUGCUAUGAAAUCGCUUGUGUCAAGUGGCCACAUCACCUUCAAUUUAAGCCAAACUCAAAAGUCAGCUCUUAAAAUUCUUGACGAACCUGUUUUCGGUAUUUUGUGAGUUGCGUAAACACGAUUUUCUAGCUAGCUCAUAAGCUCAUCAUCAUUAUUCUAAUAUUAUAUAUUAAAAAAUCAUUUCCAUCUCAAAGUAAAAUUUUAAAUUAUAAUUUAUAUGGUUGUUUAACAAUAAAAAACUUAGAACAGGUUAUUUAUUCUAUCAAAAGUUCAAUAUCAUUAAUACUUGUUAGGACAAAUUUUUUUAAAAAAAAAAAGAUGUUUGGAAAUAUAAUAAAUAUUGUAUUUUAAAGUGUUUUUUUUUCUUUAAAAAUAUUUUUAAAAAAUAAAAAAUUAAUUUUAAAUAAAAAUAAAUAAAUUUUAACCAAUUUUUUAUACCGCAGUCCCAAAUGAACCUUUUAGUCACCCAGAAAUUAGGUUGCAAGAAAAUAUAUAUUUUUACCUACUAAUCAAAAGUAUCUUUUUAAUAUUCAGAUACCAAUAUUUAAGACAUACAUUUAAGACAUGAAACUUGAAAAUUUUAACAAGAACACAGAAUUUGACUAUCAGGAUUCAAAAUACGCAUUAUCUUGCUGACAAAAUGACCUGCCUACUUGUUUGGCCGCCUGAAUUUACGUUGAUGCCACUCUCACCAUUCUAAUGGAAGCUUCUCUUUGACAAAAUCCCAUUGGUCAAAUAAGUACUACAAAUUCUAUUGUAUUGAUGGAGUAAAUAACUACCACCUUUGAGUUUUUUCCUCUUAACUCAAUACUUGAACAACGUUUCCUGUCAAUCCCUCUGCAAAAACACGACCGCUACUCCUUCAGGCCAUGUCUUGGCUUAUCCUACUCCUAACCAUAGCCUUGGUCUGUGGUUCAGCACCUGUGUUUGCUGAUGAUGAUGAGCGAUAUUUGAGCUGCAUGAACUCAUUUGAUUGCGGAAAUAUUAAGGGUGUUGGUUAUCCUUUCUCGGGAUCCGCUAGGCCUGAUUACUGUGGCUAUCCCGGGUUUGAGCUCGGUUGCAGCAACCAGGAUCCGGAGAUCACAAUCAUGCGAUCGACUUACAAACUCCUUGGCGUCAAUAACCAGUUGCGGACUCUCAAUGUUUCUAGAUCAGAUUACACAGAAAAUCUAUGUCCUACUCUCCUUUCCAACACCUCUUUGAAUCCAAACCUCUUGAAUUACACUUUAGAUUAUGCUGAGGCAACACUGUACUAUGGUUGCCCUAGUCCAAGCCCACCAGCGUUAUCAUCUCAGUUUACUUGCAACAUUAACGACACUGUUAUGGUGGGAAACUUUAUAACAGUCAACUUCUCUGUCCUUAGUAUUACUGAUACCAGCUUAAUCAGCUACCUGACAACAUGCAACAAUAGUGUUAAAUUUCCUGCCCAUCUAUCAGCUAUUAGGCCAAUUCUACCCAGUCCAACUGUAGCACAGUUUCUUGAAGCUAUUAACCAAGGUUUUGAGUUGGUUUGGAGUGCAAAUGAUUCAUUAUGUGAUACAUGUAAAUCUUCUGGUGGUCUGUGUGGGUACAACAGGACCACUACAGCAUUCACUUGUUACUGUGCGGAUCAACCUCAAGAUUUUGAAUGCUCAGCAUCACCACAGGCACCUAGUCAAUCAACAAGUAUGUCCUCUUUUCUUUCUUGAUAUUGCCAUGAUUGGAUAGAUAGAGAUAGCUGAAAUCUAAGAUAUGCCGUCCAGGCUAGGUGAUGUAGAGUGUGUUUGGCAUUGCGGUAGCUGUUGUGGUUGUGGUUUCAAAAAAGUUGUUUUAUAAAAAGUACUUUUAAUUGAGGUUGGUUUAAAAAAAUAGGUGUUUUGUUAAAACUGUAGUUGAAAUUGAGGUUGAAUAAAAAGUAAUUUAAUGUGUUUGGUUAAGAAUGCUUUUGAAAUUAAAGUUAUAAAAUAAUUUUAAAAUAUAUAUUUAUUAAUAUUGAUGGUUUUUAAUUUAAAUGUUGUAGAUUUAACUAUUGUUAUUAUUUCAUGAAAUAAAUAAUACUUUAUAUGAAAUAUUUUUUUAUUAUUCCUUAACCAUCUACAGUUCCAUUACGUACAAAACUCAUUCGACAAGAACUAUAUUUCUAUAAUUUUUUGAGCGUGCAAUAAAAUUAGAUAAAAUAUUUCAGGAUAAAAUUGAUUGAUAUUACAGUGCGAAUGAAUUUAAUUCACUUUAAACUAGUUUUUUAGGAAACAAAAUAUUAUUUACAUGACAAUAUAAGUAAAUUUAAUUCAUUCUAAAUUAUUUUUUUUAAUGUAAAAAAAAAAACAAAAAAAAAAAAACAGGAACAGUGCAAGUGAAUUGCACUGUUCCCGUGAACAGUGCGCGUGAUUGCACUGUUUGUGUGCACAGUGCAAGUGAAUUGCACUGUGCACAUGAGGCGUUAACUUUGAAAAGCAGCUCAGAGCUGCUGUGCAAAAAUCACGUUCAAAACGUGAAUUGUCGUGGGACCCACUAACAUUAAAGUGUGUUUCUGAUGUAACCAAACAUAUUGUUUGCUGUGGUUGCUUCAAACGCAGAAGCAACCACACAAACAAACGGACUCGUAGGAGGACCUCUGGUAAAAGAAACAGGUGUGAAUCGUUCCUUUGAGUAGAGGGAAGAACCUAGCUAGCUAUUAGGAAUUGUUCAAAGCUCCAUGAUCCUGAAGAGAACACCUUCCUCGGCCAUUUAAUUCCAGUAUAUCAAGCAAACAAAGACUUCGAUUAACUGACAAAGACUUUAUAACAUGAAAAUAUAGGUAGCCCUUUAUCACAAGGAGCAAUCAUUAUAGUAUUCCCAACCUAGUGUGUGUCGAGAUAUAUUAUUUCUUUAGCAGUAGCAGGAGACGAGACUGUCUAAUGAAAUUACUCUCCGUUAAUCUAGAAUUGCUAAAUACUCUUCAUUCCCACCAGUCCAGGCUCCUCGUUUAGUGAACUGAAAUUUGUCUAGGUUCCUGCUUCAACUAGUCCCGGUUUCUUGUUUAGUGAAAUGAAACUAGCCAUCCUACUCUUCUAAGUAAUCAAGGAACAAAAUUAUGUUUCAGAUAUUUUGUAACUUCUGCUGCAUAUUUGAGUCAGGUCAGGUUUUACCCUGUCAUAUUUUCGUCUUUGUUGAUUUAUGGGUAUGAUAGUUUUCAAGCAAAUGCUUCAAUAAUUUCAAUAAUCGAUGUUUGAAUUACUUUCAGAGUCCAUUAGUUUUUGUGUAGUCUUAAUGAAUAAUUAAUUGUAGCAAUUCGAGGUUAUCUGUUAAGAGGUUCAAUGUUCGAAAUUAGGCUUCUUUCUUCAGUCUUGUGUUGACUAUGACCCUAAGAAAGUUGGAGCUCUAUGUGGUGAUAGUUUGAAUACACAAUACGAUCCACAUCUUGUUCAUGAGAUGUUAAUUAACUCUAAGUUAAUCGCUGGGAGUUUUUUUUUUUUUUUUGCAGCCAUUGAUACUUAUUUCUUUAGUAGUUGUGUUGAGUGAUAGGGAAAAUUGAACAAUUCAAUUACUCAUAGUUUGAUUCCCCUGUUUUCUCUGUUUUUUGCAAUGCCUCUCUGCGAUUUUCGCAACGGAGAACCUGCUUCCCUUAAUGUUCCAGUUUCUUUAGGAUAGUUUCUUUAGGACAGUAGCUUGUAUGUAUAUAAUCUGAAUCAAGACAUGAACUAUUUUGUGUUCAACAAAUAAUAAUUGAGAUAGCCACUAUCAUAUUUUAAGUUCAUUCCAAUUGAUCAUGCUUACUAAGUGCCUACUGCCUACUGAAAACUUGCUUCAAUGUGGUCAUUGAUGUUUCUUGCUUUCAUGAUUUUUUGCAGAGAAGAAGUCUGGAAACAGUCCACUCGAAAUUGGUAUAAUUCUGCUACACACACUUUAUAAAAUCAACACCAAAAAUACAUGCUGAGCAUUUUGGUUUAUUUAUUUAUUUUCAUCUCCAGGACUUAGCUCAGCAGGUGCUUUUUUGGUGCCUUUGUGGGAUGCUGGAUCAUGGCCUUUAUACAACGGAGGAGAAGAAAAGCCGCCCUAGAGAAAACCAAAGAACUUCCUAUAGCAACUCCUUCUAGCAAAGGCCCUGCUACCUCAACUAAUCUCUCUCAAACCACCCCUUCUCUUACCUCCUUAAGGUCUGACAUUGAUAAGGGUAGUGCCUACUUUGGAGUUCGGGUUUUCAGCUAUGAUGAACUUGAGGAAGCAACCAACUUUUUUGAUUCUUCAAGAGAACUAGGAGAUGGAGGGUUUGGCACUGUUUAUUAUGGUUAGAAGAUGAAAUGAUUUCAUUUUGCAGUAUAGGAACUUGCAUCCAUUAACUGCUUUGUUGACUCUUUCUAAAUUUCUAGUUCUAUUGCUUGUUUUAUCAGGUGUACUCAGGGAUGGACAUGAGGUUGCCGUCAAGCGCCUAUAUGAGAACAACAUGAAACGUACUGAGCAGUUUAUGAAUGAAAUUGAGAUCCUAGCCCAUUUACAACACCGGAAUCUGGUGAAACUUCACGGAUGUACCUCCAGGCACAGCCGAGAGCUUCUACUCGUUUAUGAAUACAUUCCUAAUGGAACUGUUGCUGAUCAUCUUCAUGGAAGACAGUCAAACUCUCGCUUGCUCACUUUGCCUGUUCGGCUAAGCAUUGCCAUAGAGACAGCCAGUGCGCUGGUGCACCUCCAUGCUUCAGAUGUCAUACAUCGAGAUGUAAAAACCAAUAACAUUCUCCUAGACAAUGACUUCUGUGUCAAAGUGGCUGAUUUUGGUUUGUCCCGAUUGUUCCCAACUAAUGUCACUCAUUUAACGACUGCUCCACAAGGAACACCUGGAUAUGUUGAUCCGGAGUAUUAUCAAUGCUACCAACUCACGGACAAGAGUGAUGUUUACAGCUUUGGCGUCGUCUUGAUUGAGCUGAUAUCAGCUUUACAAGCAGUGGACACCAAUAGGCGUCGGCACGAUAUUAAUCUGUCCAACAUGGCAGUCAACAAAAUCCAAAAUCAUGCUUUGAAUGAGUUGGUUGAUCCAUUUCUUGGAUUUGAUAAGGAUUUCGUAGUGAGGAGGAUGGUAACAUCAGUUGCAGAUUAGCUUUCCGGUGUUUGCAACACAGAGGGAAAUGAGGCCAACUAUGGAAGAAGUGUUGGAGAUAUUGAAAAGAAUUGAGAAAGAAAAUUAUGGAGCAGAAAAGGCAGAUGUAUUGGAUAUUAGUGAGGAUGAUGUUGGG
RNAcentral lists this long non-coding RNA (8364 nucleotides) under Populus tremula. RNAcentral's name for it is "long non-coding RNA (PTRE_LNC001320)". Lineage: Eukaryota; Viridiplantae; Streptophyta; Magnoliopsida; Malpighiales; Salicaceae. The record is from RNAcentral.